RNAcentral lists this unclassified non-coding RNA (200 nucleotides) under Oidiodendron sp. RNAcentral describes it as "partial internal transcribed spacer 2". Lineage: Eukaryota; Fungi; Ascomycota; Leotiomycetes; Myxotrichaceae. The record is from RNAcentral.
UUAAGUUCGGCGGGUAUCCCUACCUGAUCCGAGGUCAACCACAGAGUUUGGGGUUCUGGCAAGCCACCGCCGGGCCCUAGAGCGAGAUAUGUACUACGCUUAGAGCCAGACGGUGCCGCCACUGUCUUUAGGGCCGGCCGCAACCGGGCAGGGCCCAACACCAAGCUGAGCUUGAGGGUUGAACUGACGCUCGAACAGGC